This 449-nucleotide ribosomal RNA is filed under the name uncultured bacterium. RNAcentral's name for it is "partial 16S ribosomal RNA". It matches the Rfam family "Bacterial small subunit ribosomal RNA", at positions 29 to 523 of the family's 1533-position model. The record is from RNAcentral.
AACGAACGCUGGCGGCAGGCCUAACACAUGCAAGUCGAACGCUGUAGCAAUACAGAGUGGCAGACGGGGGAGUAACACGUGGGAAUCUUCCUAUCGGUACGGAAUAGCUCAGGGAAACUUGAGGUAAUACGGCAUACGCCCUUCGGGGGAAAGAUUUAUCGCCGAUAGAUGAGCCCGCGUCUGAGUAGCUAGUUGGUGAGGUAAUGGCUCACCAAGGCGACGAUCAGUAGCUGGUCUGAGAGGAUGACCAGCCACACUGGGACUGAGACACGGCCCAGACUCCUACGGGAGGCAGCAGUGGGGAAUAUUGGACAAUGGGCGCAAGCCUGAUCCAGCCAUGCCGCGUGAGUGACGAAGGUCUUCGGAUUGUAAAGCUCUUUUGCCAGGGACGAUAAUGACGGUACCUGGAGAAUAAGCCCCGGCUAACUUCAUGCCAGCAGCCGCAGUAA